CAGUCGCCACGGGAAUACGUAGGGUGCAAGCGUUAAUCGGAAUUACUGGGCGUAAAGCGUGCGCAGGCGGUUAUAUAAGACAGAUGUGAAAUCCCCGGGCUCAACCUGGGAACUGCAUUUGUGACUGUAUAGCUAGAGUACGGCAGAGGGGGAUGGAAUUCCGCGUGUAGCAGUGAAAUGCGUAAAUAUGCGGAGGAACACCGAUGGCGAAGGCAAUCCCCUGGGCCUGUACUGACGCUCAUGCACGAAAGCGUGGGGAGCAAACAGGAUUAGAUACCCCUGUAGUCCCUGUCUCUUAUAC
Molecule: ribosomal RNA, 301 nt
Filed under: uncultured bacterium
Lineage: Bacteria
Description: partial 16S ribosomal RNA
Rfam family: Bacterial small subunit ribosomal RNA
Source: RNAcentral